RNAcentral lists this ribosomal RNA (460 nucleotides) under uncultured bacterium. Its description in RNAcentral is "partial 16S ribosomal RNA". It matches the Rfam family "Bacterial small subunit ribosomal RNA", at positions 338 to 795 of the family's 1533-position model. The record is from RNAcentral.
CCUACGGGUGGUAGCAGUGAGGAAUAUUGGUCAAUGGGCGGGAGCCUGAACCAGCCAAGUCGCGUGAGGGAAGACGGUCCUAUGGAUUGUAAACCUCUUUAGGCGGGGAGCAAUGCCGGGCACGCGUGCCCGGAGGGAGAGUACCCGCAGAAUAAGCAUCGGCUAACUCCGUGCCAGCAGCCGCGGUAAUACGGAGGAGGCGAGCGUUAUCCGGAUUUAUUGGGUUUAAAGGGUGCGUAGGCGGAUUUGUAAGUCAGCGGUAAAAUGUCCGGGCUCAACCCGGGCCGGCCGUUGAAACGGUCGAGCUUGAGUGAAGUAGAGGUAGGCGGAAUUCCCGGUGUAGCGGUGAAAUGCGUAGAGAUCGGGAGGAACACCAGUGGCGAAGGCGGCCUACUGGGCUUUAACUGACGCUGAGGCACGAAAGCGUGGGUAGCAAACAGGAUUAGAUACCCGGGUAGUC